RNAcentral lists this long non-coding RNA (5297 nucleotides) under Brassica rapa (field mustard). Its description in RNAcentral is "long non-coding RNA (BRAP_LNC002904)". Lineage: Eukaryota; Viridiplantae; Streptophyta; Magnoliopsida; Brassicales; Brassicaceae. The record is from RNAcentral.
CGAGAUCGGUUCUUGGAAUUCUGACUUGACCAUUCUCUUAGUUAAGAUUUAUCAUGAAUUAUCAUGAAUCCUAAUGAGUUUUUAGGGAUUGAUUUAGAGAUGGUCCCUUGGGCCGGUUUGGCUGGUCUUGGCCGAGAUCUAUGGGAUGGAGGCCGGUUCUGGGAAAUCUGAUUGGACCAUUCUCUUAGUUAUGAUUUAUCAUGAAUUGUCAUGAAUGUUAAUUGAUUUUUGGAGCAGGGUUGCUUGCGGUCGAAAUUGCACCUGAGGGCAUAUUGGGGUCAGAUCCUUGUGUUAGGAUAUCUGAUCAUAUGUUGUGUGCUGGAACAUAUUGUCACUUAUGAUAUUGAUCAUAUGGAAUUGCUGGUUAUCAACCUUGGUGUUGGUAAGGCAGGCCGUGUGUGGUCUGAUCAUUGGCAAGGAUGGACAACCUGAUCCUUGGAUGAUGGAUCAAGGUGUCUGAUCUGAUUGAUCAAAGGAUGCACCGGUGGUAAGAGCAACACUAAUCAGGUUCAGUGGGACAUGGUUCCAUGACUGAUUAGGAAGUAUGAAGACUCAUCAGUUCUGAGUCAUGUGGGGUGGUUGGUUGAUUGACUCAGGAUCUGAUGGGCAUUGUUAGUCUUUGUGAGGACUUGAUCUGGUUAGUCCAUGAGAGGACUUGGUAUGAUUAGUCCAUGAGCUGGACUUGGUAUCAUAAGUUGAUAAGGCAAAAGGAUGUGGAACAGUGCAUGAACCGGUAAGGGCCAGAUGCAUGUCCUUAGCUGAUUGAAGACUUCCCAAAGGUUACUUAUGUCUGUGGGGAUGGUUGGCUGAAUGACUAAGUACCCAAGGGAAGAGUUUAUGCAGGUAUGAUCUGUCAAUGUUGCAUAGAUCUAGAUAGAAUGGCUUAGGGGAACAGAACCUCUGAUUGUAUGACUUGGUCUAGGUUCAGAUUCGACCUUGGAGCCAGCUGGCAGUUGUGUUUACUGACCAGUGGCUGAGGUGAUCUGAUCAGACAAGUGUUAGAUUGGAUUUAGUCCAAUGGAUGAUAGAUGUUAUUCCGCUGUGCAUAAGUUGAAAUGAUCUAAGCUAGGGAAUGACUAAGGUAGUCUUGAGCUAAGAUCUGAGUUAGCCCUCGCCUAUGGGCGAUGUGUUUUAAAUAAAGGGCAAAAUUUUUAGAGGUUCGGUCAGUGUCUAGACCGAGCGACGUGAGGCAUCGACCGCGGCCUGGUCGGCCGGGAUCGGGUCUUACAAGUUGGUAUCAGAGCAUGCUUGAUCCUGUUGAGGACAGUGCUCAAAUAUGUUAAGUUCCAAACCGAAAUUAUUUCUGAAAACUGAGAUGACUUGGAACCUUAGUUGUGGUGAGCCAAGUGAGAGUUGAGAUAAGUUUGGGUUUCAUGCUUGUGAACGGGGAAGUUCCAUGAUGAGCCGGCUUAGCCAAGAUACACUCUUCCACGGCAAGACCCUGAAAACAUAAAGGUUAGUUUAUCUAGUUAUUUGGGAAUAAUAGACGGAUUGGAUGAUGGACGCAAUGCAAUAUCCUUGUAGGGACGACCUGGACAAGGGAAGUAACAUGGACCAGAGAGUGGCUUAGGUUGAAAGAAACGUGCAGCACUCUCUUGGAGGUAAAUGUUAUCCCUUGGUGGCCGUUCAAAACAAGUGAGCAUAUGCAAUGUUCAUGUUAGUCUAAGGGAGACACUACAUGGCUAGUACAUGAGUGGGCUUGUGAUCAGAUGGAUCAGCUUGGACUCAGUGUAAGUCAAGGUAGGAUUCCUUAAGAUUGAGUGAAUGUAAUGGAUCAAUUCCAAGAGGAAUUAGAAAAACGAUGUUAAGUAUCUUAGUAUGAUGAGGAUUGAAGUAUACUAUCAACACUUUUGUGAAUGGUAUGGGACGUUCACAGAUGUGUGAUACUUUGGAGAAUGGUAUGGGACAUUUUCCAAAUGUGUGAUCAAACCAAGAUCCUACUCAUCUAAGUACUUAAUGAUCGGUGGUGUGGAAACACAUUAUUUGAUACUGGAGCUACACAUAGUGUUGUGAGUCCAGGAAUGGUUGGAAAAGGUUUGUUCCAGUAUGGAACAUGGGAUGGUUCUGAACGAGUGAGUGCGGCCGGAGGGCAAGUUAUGAACUCACUCGGUCUGGUUAAGGACAUCCCUGUGGUGAUCUUGGAUAGGCCGAUGCCUAUAGAUCUGAUUGUUGUCCCCCUCAAGCAUCAUGAAGUGAUCUUGGGCAUGGACUGGUUGGGAAAGUAUCGGGCAACUCUAGAUUGUCACCGGGGAAGGGUGCAACUUGAGAACGAGUUUGGACCCCGAUUAAGUACCAAGGAAUCAAGCCAACCUCUUGUAGUUUGGUGGUUUCAGCAGUCCAAGUAGAACGGAUGCUUGGAAAUGGUUGUGAGGCCUUUUUGGCUACCAUUUACACUGAUGAGGUUGUAGGGGCCUGUGACCCAGAGGGUAUACCGUUGGUUCGGGAAUUUCAGGAUGUGUUUGGGGCACUACAGGGCAUUCCCCCUGAUAGGGCUGACCCAUUCAUCAUUGAAUUGGAACCUGGAACGGCCCCAUUAUCUAAAAGUCCAUAUAGAAUGGCACCAGCUCAGAUGGCAGAGCUGAAGAAGCAACUUGAGGAGUUGCUUGAGAAGGGGUUCAUACACCCUAGUGUAUCACCUUGGGGAGCACCAGUCCUAUUUGAUAAGAAAAAAAGGAUGGUAGCUUUAGGUUGUGCAUUGAUUAUAGGGGUUUGAACAGGGUGACUGGGAAGAACAAGUACCCUUUACCCAGGAUUGAUGAAUUGCUGGAAUCAUAAACCUUAUUGUCCAGGAAGGACUUAAGGGAACAGAACAAUCUGUUAGGACUCAUGGUAGAGUGAGCAGCCUAAAGAUUGGAACAUGUUCACUAGGACUUGGCUGGUGCAUCGAGGGGCUUGGAGAUUGGUUGAAUCUACUAAGACUUGAGUACUCAGUAUGUUCCUAGGUACUGAAUUUGAUCUAGUCAUGGAACUAAAGUGUUCUACAUAGACUAGGUGUCUACUAGGAACGCAACCUGGAGAGUUGGGUCAGUGACACAAGUCAUGUCUUUUUAUGGGUGCUUGAUGGACCACUUGAUAAGAUUUUGGGUUAAAAAUCUAUCAAGUGGGGAAGACUUGUUGUGUAUAUGAUGACCAAGACAUGGUCAGUGAGAAAGAACAAGGUGGGAGAUGCAACGAACUGGUUAGAAAGAACCAAUCGAGCAUGCUCCAUGUUCUGGGUACAAAAAAGUCGGAUGGAACCUUGGUCAUGAGACAAGAGGUUAACACACUGGAUUCGAGGACGAAUCCUUCGUAAGUGGGGGAGACUUGUCAUGUCCCCGAUCCUGGAUAGGAUCGUCCGGACGGACUGCGGUGCAAGGAAACGCACCAGUCAGGUCACAUGACCUAAGGACAAGCGUGUCAUGGUCCUGAAUGAAGGUUAAGGGCAUCAGUCAGCUGAGACUUAACCAGGAUAUGAUGGAAACAAGGGUAAAGGAGCUGGGUGAGUGUUUAGGCAGCUGGACGAGUGUUGGUUUGAGUUCAAUCAGCUCGGUUCAGCUGGUAUUCAGUUCACCAUGAUCUGUCCAGCUCACAGGAGCUGGUGGACUAGCUCACUCAGCUGGGAACAGCUGGAGGUCAGCUCCAUUCGGUGAACGGUGCGUUUUGGUUCGGAUCAGUGCGGGCGAGUCCGGGACGGUUACUGGGCGAGCCGAUGGUCCGGGUGCAGGACGGUUCGACCAAGUGGGUCUUAGGCUUGGGGCAGGGAGUGGGCAAGCUUCCAGAGUGUGAGCUGAGGCUCAGUGAUCGAUUUGCCAAAGGAAGAAAAGGGGAGAAACCGCCAAUGGGCGGUUAUGGGGCGGUUAUGGGACGGUUUUGGGAAGAAGGGAUGUGAUUGGUUGGUAACUGUUCGCCCAAGCGGUUGGGGACAGUUUAAAUCGUCUUCUCCCUCUCAUUUCUGCCAUUCUGGUCGAUUUUUACUCAACUUGACACAGAGAGAAACACAGAGAAAAUUCAAGAGAGAAAGAGAGACACAAACCUUGGAUUGGCCGAUUUGAUCCAAGAGAUUGCUCUUGAGUGUUCCUGGUGUGUUUGGGCGUGUGAUCAAGAGAAUGGAUUUGAGACAGAAAGACAAGGAGAAAGACAAAGAAUCCAGAGAAAAAUACAGAGAGUUGGUCGGAUUCCCAAUCCAAGACCCAUGGUGGUGUGAAGGCCAUAAAGAGACAGUUUUGGGGCAGAUCAAGGGGGAAGUUGAGAACGACCCUCUGAACGGUUUUGAUCAUUGUUGACAACACCCAAAGACUUAUCUGGAGCCUGUGAACACACGCAAAUGGUGAGGAAAGGAGGGAGUUGGCCGGAAUCCAUUCCCAAGGGCCAAUGCAGCCUUAAAGGGAGAUUGGUGUGGAAAGCAGUUUCAUGGGGAACAAAGAGGGAAGUGAUGCACGACCCUUGGAUGGUGAUUGAUCAUGGAUGAUCAUGUCUAAGGCUUCCUAUGUGUCUUGGGAACACACGCAAUUGGUUAGGAGAGGAGGGGGAAGGCUUGACUUCACUCACAAUGGCAUGAAUAGCCUUGAAGGUGGAUGCAGUGUAGAAACUGGUUUCAUGGAAGUUCCAUGGAAGGAAUGAUGGUCACGAACCAUGGUUAGAUCUUAUCAAUACUGGGAGUAUGUGAUAAGGGUUUGAUGAAGGCGUGCUAGGAGGAGCAUGGACGCCCCUGAUGAGGUAACAGGUGGGGACUGCAGACCAUUGGACAUAGUCUGGUACACUAUGGGUUGAUCUGGUCCAGCAGUUACACCUUACUAUGUUUUAUGAUUAUUAAUCAUAUUAUUCAUUGUUCUUAUGAUUGAGAUUGAUGAUUAGACAUAGUAGCACUGAACCAUGACUUGGCCGGUUCAGAAGAACCCUCCAUGGCCUUGGUUUGGCAGCUAAGUCUGGAUCUCCUACUUCCUGAUGGAUUUAUGGCGAUCUGACUUUGGAAUCCUCUUAGUGGUGAAUUAUCAUGAAUUAUCAUGGUAUUAGGGGAUUUUUAUCUGAUUGAUUUCGAGAUGGUCAAUGUGGCCGGUGGGGCUGUUCUAGGUCGAGAUCCAUAGGAUCGAGAUCGGUUCUUGGAAUUCUGACUUGACCAUUCUCUUAGUUAAGAUUUAUCAUGAAUUAUCAUGAAUCCUAAUGAGUUUUUAGGGAUUGAUUUAGAGAUGGUCCCUUGGGCCGGUUUGGCUGGUCUUGGCCGAGAUCUAUGGGAUGGAGGCCGGUUCUGGGAAAUCUGAUUGGACCAUUCUCUUAGUUAUGAUUUAUCAUGAAUUGUCAUGAAUGUUAAUUGAUUUUUG